This 497-nucleotide ribosomal RNA is filed under the name uncultured bacterium. RNAcentral describes it as "partial 16S ribosomal RNA". It matches the Rfam family "Bacterial small subunit ribosomal RNA", at positions 28 to 507 of the family's 1533-position model. The record is from RNAcentral.
GAUGAACGCUGGCGGCGUGCCUAAUACAUGCAAGUCGAGCGAACGGACGAGAAGCUUGCUUCUCUGAUGUUAGCGGCGGACGGGUGAGUAACACGUGGAUAACCUACCUAUAAGACUGGGAUAACUUCGGGAAACCGGAGCUAAUACCGGAUAAUAUUUUGAACCGCAUGGUUCAAAAGUGAAAGACGGUCUUGCUGUCACUUAUAGAUGGAUCCGCGCUGCAUUAGCUAGUUGGUAAGGUAACGGCUUACCAAGGCAACGAUGCAUAGCCGACCUGAGAGGGUGAUCGGCCACACUGGAACUGAGACACGGUCCAGACUCCUACGGGAGGCAGCAGUAGGGAAUCUUCCGCAAAGGGCGAAAGCCUGACGGAGCAACGCCGCGUGAGUGAUAAAGGUCUUCGGAUCGUAAAACUCUGUUAUUAGGGAAGAACAUAUGUGUAAGUAACUGUGCACAUCUUGACGGUACCUAAUCAGAAAGCCACGGCUAACUACGUA